Molecule: long non-coding RNA, 262 nt
Filed under: Pan troglodytes (chimpanzee)
Lineage: Eukaryota; Metazoa; Chordata; Mammalia; Primates; Hominidae
Description: long non-coding RNA NONPTRT014597
Source: RNAcentral
CAGAAAGUGCCAUUAGUGAUGAUAGCAAGAGUGGCAGCCAUGCAUUGUGUGCCUGCUGGGCGGCAGGCUCAGCGGGAGGAAGGUGAUGGAAUGAUUAAGGUGUAGGCCCUGGAACUGGGCCAAAGAUUCAUGUCCCAUUUGCCAUUAGUUGCAUGACCCUCGGCAGGAUACUUACCUUCUCUAUGCCUGAGUUUCUCCACCCAUAAAAUGGUGCUAAUGAUGUAUUUACCCAGAGGGUUGAUGUGAGGAUCAGGUGAGAAAG